Molecule: ribosomal RNA, 448 nt
Filed under: uncultured bacterium
Lineage: Bacteria
Description: bacterial SSU rRNA
Rfam family: Bacterial small subunit ribosomal RNA
Source: RNAcentral
CGCCAGACUCCUACGGGAGGCAGCAGUGGGGAAUAUUGCACAAUGGGGGGAACCCUGAUGCAGCGACGCCGCGUGAGUGAAGAAGUAUUUCGGUAUGUAAAGCUCUCUCAGCAGGGAAGAAAAUGACGGUACCUGACUAAGAAGCCCCGGCUAACUACGUGCCAGCAGCCGCGGUAAUACGUAGGGGGCAAGCGUUAUCCGGAUUUACUGGGUGUAAAGGGGGCGCAGACGGCGAUGCAAGCCAGGAGUGAAAGCCCGGGGCCCAACCCCGGGACUGCUCUUGGAACUGCGUGGCUGGAGUGCAGGAGGGGCAGGCGGAAUUCCUGGUGUAGCGGUGAAAUGCGUAGAUAUCAGGAGGAACACCGGUGGCGAAGGCGGCCUGCUGGACUGCAACUGACGUUGGGGCCCGAAAGCGUGGGGAACAAACAGGAUUAGAUACCCGCGUAAC